UACGUAGGGUGCGAGCGUUAAUCGGAAUUACUGGGCGUAAAGCGUGCGCAGGCGGUUCGUUAAGUCAGAUGUGAAAGCCCCGGGCUUAACCUGGGAAUGGCAUUUGGGACUGCAAGGCUGGAGUGUGGCAGAGGAGACUGGAAUUCCUGGUGUAGCAGUGAAAUGCGUAGAUAUCAGGAGGAAUACCGAUGGCGAAGGCAGGUCUCUGGGCUGAUACUGACGCUGAUGCGCGAAAGCCAGGGGAGCAAACGGG
RNAcentral lists this ribosomal RNA (253 nucleotides) under uncultured bacterium. RNAcentral's name for it is "partial 16S ribosomal RNA". It matches the Rfam family "Bacterial small subunit ribosomal RNA", at positions 524 to 776 of the family's 1533-position model. The record is from RNAcentral.